RNAcentral lists this ribosomal RNA (437 nucleotides) under uncultured Ruminococcus sp. Its description in RNAcentral is "bacterial SSU rRNA". It matches the Rfam family "Bacterial small subunit ribosomal RNA", at positions 341 to 792 of the family's 1533-position model. Lineage: Bacteria; Bacillati; Bacillota; Clostridia; Eubacteriales; Oscillospiraceae. The record is from RNAcentral.
ACGGAAGGCAGCAGUGGGGAAUAUUGGGCAAUGGGCGAAAGCCUGACCCAGCGACGCCGCGUGAGGGAAGAAGGCUUUCGGAUUGUAAACCUCUGUCCUAGGUGACGAAGGAAGUGACGGUAGCCAAGGAGGAAGCCCCGGCUAACUACGUGCCAGCAGCCGCGGUAAUACGUAGGGAGCGAGCGUUGUCCGGAAUUACUGGGUGUAAAGGGAGCGUAGGCGGGACUGCAAGUCAGAUGUGAAAUGCCGGGGCUUAACCCCGGAGCUGCAUUUGAAACUGUGGUUCUUGAGUGAAGUAGAGGCAAGCGGAAUUCCUGGUGUAGCGGUGAAAUGCGUAGAUAUCAGGAGGAACACCGGUGGCGAAGGCGGCUUGCUGGGCUUUUACUGAUGCUGAGGCUCGAAAGCGUGGGUAGCAAACAGGAUUAGAUACCCUGGUA